CGUGAGAGGAGGGGUCUGUUGCGCUUGCGCAACUGGCCGCCCGCCGAAGGCCUGGAGCGCAUGUGCACAGGGAGUAUUGAAAAACGGGGUGGAGUCUGACUACCGCUGUCAUAGGGUGCUCAAGCUCACGGUGUGUGGAAAGAUUUGCUGCAUUUCUAAAGACUUCUAGAAAACAAGCUGCAUUACAGAACCUAAACCAGCAUUUGCUUUUCUUCACUCUGAGGGAGCACACAAGUACUGAAUUCUCUGCCACUGGGCACGCCAAGAGUGCUUUUAGCUGGUGCGGACAAUUAAGCCCUGGAAAUGCAGCAAUCCAUUUCACACAGAGAGAAGAUUUGAGGGAUGACUCACCAAACACCCAGGCCCUGGAGGAGCCAAAAACAUGGUCACUGUUCCCAAUAAUAAAAUCCAGAGGAUUUUCGUGGUAAUAAGGCAGAGGUGAGAUGACCACUCCCGACUUCCCUGCCCCACCAACCCAAGCUGAGAGGAAGAGUCUUAAGCUGCAGAUUCUUGAAAGCCACACAUUUGCUGGUAGUGUGGCUCAUUUGGCUACACAUCUAUUAUACCUCCAUCCUUAAGAACAAUGGGGCGCCAAGGAUGGUUUUGCCACCUCCUUCACCUCUAUGUCUCCUGCAGCAGUGCCUGGGAUGGUCAGCUCGUAGAUAUUUGAUGAAUGAAUGAAUGAAGCCACCUCUGUCUUA
This is a long non-coding RNA of Bubalus bubalis (water buffalo), 701 nucleotides long. RefSeq lists it as uncharacterized. The record is from RefSeq and is a predicted model, not a curated record. The transcript has 4 exons. Lineage: Eukaryota; Metazoa; Chordata; Mammalia; Artiodactyla; Bovidae.